UCUUUUUAUGUUGACCUCGGAUCAGGUAGGGAUACCCGCUGAACUUAAGCAUAUCAAUAA
This 60-nucleotide ribosomal RNA is filed under the name Aspergillus caninus. Its description in RNAcentral is "partial 28S ribosomal RNA". Lineage: Eukaryota; Fungi; Ascomycota; Eurotiomycetes; Eurotiales; Aspergillaceae. The record is from RNAcentral.